Molecule: long non-coding RNA, 1134 nt
Filed under: Olea europaea (common olive)
Lineage: Eukaryota; Viridiplantae; Streptophyta; Magnoliopsida; Lamiales; Oleaceae
Description: long non-coding RNA (OEUR_LNC011335)
Source: RNAcentral
CCCUCAAAUAUGAACUAAAACCACUUCAACAAUAACCAAUUUUCUUCAAAUCAAAAAAUAUAAUAUGAAUAGGGUAUGAUAGUCCCUCAAAAUAUAAACUAUUCAAAUAAAAUGCUGGCAAAUCAACAUUUAAUUGCUUUACAACCAACGAUCCUCAAAUAUACUAAAGAUAGCAAAUAUCUAAUGAGCCCUUAAUGAACUUUUUUGAUUUAAGAUACUUGUAUUCCAAAAGAACACAUAAUGUAUAAUCUGAUAAAGGAUGUCAUACAACCUAUGAUGCGUGGCUCAAUUCGGUGGUUUGACAAGCUUCAAAGCUGCUCAAUUCGACUGCUAUCUGUCUGAUAAAGAAAAAGGUAAAAAAUAUAUGAGCUUAAAGUUCAAUGAGUGGAUGAUUUGCAAAUAAGUAAACUUUUCUCAUUUAAGCAUAUUUUCUAAAAAUUCUUGCUCUAUGAAAACUUUGAGAAAUUCUGAAAACUAGUAGCACUUUGAAAACAGAAACAUGAUUGGAUCAUAAAAUUCUUUGUUCUUUAUUCUAGUUCAUUAACUAUAAAAUAUGAUGAAUAUAAAUAAUCUAACAUCCAUGAAAAUCUAUAAAAUAUUGAUGUUGUUCAAUACUAUAAGCUGGAAGCUUUAUUCUUAGAACUGAAUAGACUGAAUUAUAUCAUCUAAAAUCUGAUAAGCUGUAGAAAUACUGAAAAAUCACACCAAAAAGAUACCCAAUGAAUAGCUUUGCUCAUGUACAGAGUAAUCUCGAUAUACAAGGCAAAGUCAUUCUAAUCUGAUAAUCUAGUCAUACGUAUGCAGAGCUGUCCCAAAAGCUAAUCACCCUAGUACACAGCCUAAAGCGUAUGUGAGUAUGAGAGAGGGUCCCAAAGACCUCUAAUAAUCUGGUCAUAUACUAUAGAACACAUUCACAAUAGUACAGAGUGGUUAAGAUCACCAUAACUGGUCAUACACCGUGGAAAUACAUUCACACUAGUGCAAAGCGGGUAAAAUAACCUUAACUGAUCAUACACUAUGGAAAUACAUUCACAUAAGUGCAGACUAGAGUAAAAUCACCUGGAUACUUUAUGGUGGUUUUACAAAGAACUUUAAAUAUGCUGAAAUAUUUAAUACUAAAAUAAUACGAUAAUG